This 333-nucleotide long non-coding RNA is filed under the name Ricinus communis (castor bean). RNAcentral describes it as "long non-coding RNA (RCOM_LNC003176)". The record is from RNAcentral. Lineage: Eukaryota; Viridiplantae; Streptophyta; Magnoliopsida; Malpighiales; Euphorbiaceae.
AAGCACCCAACAAAUCCAUCCAGAAAUUCACAAAAUAAUCUCAAACAAACAAAUCAAACCCUAAAAUAGGAAAAACAAACAAAAGCAUCUCUGUUUUCAGCUCCACCACCUCUUCUUACCCACGUCCAGCUCCACCACUUCCUACUAGUCCACCUUCAGCUCUACCACCAACCCCAACGCCUCUUUCUAGUCCACCACCACCACCAAAGUCACUCUACCUCCAUGAUCAAAGCAUCCACUGCACAAGAAAAGAAGAAGAAACGAAAGCCAUUUUUGAGAGACCCAUCACUGCUUCAUUUAGUUUUUUGUAUAGGAUUCAUCCGCUUGCUUACU